Molecule: ribosomal RNA, 402 nt
Filed under: uncultured bacterium
Lineage: Bacteria
Description: bacterial SSU rRNA
Rfam family: Bacterial small subunit ribosomal RNA
Source: RNAcentral
UGGGGAAUAUUGGACAAUGGGGGAAACCCUGAUCCAGCAAUGCCGCGUGAGUGAUGAAGGCCCUAGGGUUGUAAAGCUCUUUUGUGCGGGAAGAUAAUGACUGUACCGCAAGAAUAAGCCCCGGCUAACUUCGUGCCAGCAGCCGCGGUAAUACGAAGGGGGCUAGCGUUGCUCGGAAUCACUGGGCGUAAAGGGUGCGUAGGCGGGUCUUUAAGUCAGGGGUGAAAUCCUGGAGCUCAACUCCAGAACUGCCUUUGAUACUGAGGAUCUUGAGUUCGGGAGAGGUGAGUGGAACUGCGAGUGUAGAGGUGAAAUUCGUAGAUAUUCGCAAGAACACCAGUGGCGAAGGCGGCUCACUGGCCCGAUACUGACGCUGAGGCACGAAAGCGCGGGGAGCAAACA